This 469-nucleotide ribosomal RNA is filed under the name uncultured bacterium. RNAcentral's name for it is "bacterial SSU rRNA". It matches the Rfam family "Bacterial small subunit ribosomal RNA", at positions 355 to 823 of the family's 1533-position model. The record is from RNAcentral.
UCGAGGAUCUUUAGCAAUGCCCGAAAGGGUGACUAUGCGACGCCGCGUGUGGGAUGAAGGCCUUCGGGUCGUAAACCACUGUCAGGGAGGAAGAAACCUUACGUGUUAACAGCGCGUAAGCUGACAUCACUCCCAAAGGAAGCCACGGCUAACUCUGUGCCAGCAGCCGCGGUAAGACAGAGGUGGCAAGCGUUGUUCGGAAUUACUGGGCGUAAAGGGCGCGUAGGCGGUCUUGUAAGUCCCGUGUGAAAGCCCCCGGCUCAACCGGGGAAUGGCACGGGAAACUGCGAGGCUUGAGUUCGGGAGAGGGAAGCGGAAUUCCGGGUGUAGCGGUGAAAUGCGUAGAUAUCCGGAGGAACACCAGUGGCGAAGGCGGCUUCCUGGACCGAUACUGACGCUGAGGCGCGAAAGCUAGGGGAGCAAACGGGAUUAGAUACCCCCGUAGUCCCUGAGCGGGCUGGCAAGGCGC